UGGCGGCGUGCUUAACACAUGCAAGUCGAACGGAAAGGCCCUGCUUUUGUGGGGUGCUCGAGUGGCGAACGGGUGAGUAACACGUGAGUAACCUGCCCUUGACUUUGGGAUAACUUCAGGAAACUGGGGCUAAUACCGGAUAGGAGCUCCUGCUGCAUGGUGGGGGUUGGAAAGUUUCGGCGGUUGGGGAUGGACUCGCGGCUUAUCAGCUUGUUGGUGGGGUAGUGGCUUACCAAGGCUUUGACGGGUAGCCGGCCUGAGAGGGUGACCGGCCACAUUGGGACUGAGAUACGGCCCAGACUCCUACGGGAGGCAGCAGUGGGGAAUAUUGCACAAUGGGCGGAAGCCUGAUGCAGCAACGCCGCGUGCGGGAUGACGGCCUUCGGGUUGUAAACCGCUUUCGCCUGUGACGAAGCGUGAGUGACGGUAAUGGGUAAAGAAGCACCGGCUAACUACGUGCCAGCAGCCGCGGUGAUACGUAGGGUGCGAGCGUUGUCCGGAUUUAUUGGGCGUAAAGGGCUCGUAGGUGGUUGAUCGCGUCGGAAGUGUAAUCUUGGGGCUUAACCCUGAGCGUGCUUUCGAUACGGGUUGACUUGAGGAAGGUAGGGGAGAAUGGAAUUCCUGGUGGAGCGGUGGAAUGCGCAGAUAUCAGGAGGAACACCAGUGGCGAAGGCGGUUCUCUGGGCCUUUCCUGACGCUGAGGAGCGAAAGCGUGGGGAGCGAACAGGCUUAGAUACCCCUGGUAGUCCACGCUGUAAACGGUGGGUACUAGGUGUGGGGGUCCAUUCCUGGGGUUCCGUGCUGUAGCUAACGCUUUAAGUACCCCGCCCUGGGGAGUACGGCCGCAAGGCUAAAACUCAAAGGAAUAGACGGGGCUCCGCACAAGCGGCGGAGCAUGCGGAUUAAUUCGAUGCAACGCGUAGAACCUUACCUGGGUUUGACAUGGAUCGGGAGUGCUCAGAGAUGGGUGUGCCUCUUUUGGGGUCGGUUCACAGGUGGUGCAUGGCUGUCGUCAGCUCGUGUCGUGAGAUGUUGGGUUAAGUCCCGCAACGAGCGCAACCCUUGUUCACUGUUGCCAGCACGUUAUGGUGGGGACUCAGUGGAGACCGCCGGGGUCAACUCGGAGGAAGGUGGGGAUGACGUCAAGUCAUCAUGCCCCUUAUGUCCAGGGCUUCACGCAUGCUACAAUGGCUGGUACAGAGAGUGGCGAGCCUGUGAGGGUGAGCGAAUCUCGGAAAGCCGGUCUCAGUUCGGAUUGGGGUCUGCAACUCGACCUCAUGAAGUCGGAGUCGCUAGUAAUCGCAGAUCAGCAACGCUGCGGUGAAUACGUUCCCGGGGCUUGUACACUCCGCCCGUCAAGUCAUGAAAGUUGGUAACUCCCGAAGCCGGUGGCUCUAACCGUUGUGGGGGAGCCGUCGAAGGUGGGACUGGGAAUUAGGACUAAGUC
This 1447-nucleotide ribosomal RNA is filed under the name uncultured organism. RNAcentral's name for it is "16S ribosomal RNA". It matches the Rfam family "Bacterial small subunit ribosomal RNA". The record is from RNAcentral.